Molecule: long non-coding RNA, 342 nt
Organism: Astyanax mexicanus (Mexican tetra)
Lineage: Eukaryota; Metazoa; Chordata; Actinopteri; Characiformes; Acestrorhamphidae
Exons: 3
Source: RefSeq, a predicted model, not a curated record
GUAUAGAAAGGUAUGGUGAGGUAUAGUGAGGUAUAGUGUUGUAUAGUGAGGUAUAGUGAGGUAUAGUGUUGUAUAGUGAGGUAUAGUGAGGCAUAGUGAUGUAUAGUGAGGUAUAGUGAGGUAUAGUGAGGUAUAGUGUUGUAUAGUGAGGUAUAGUGAGGUAUAGUGAUGUAUAGUGAGGUAUAGUGAGGUAUAGUGUUGUAUAGUGAGGUAUAGUGUUGUAUAGUGAGGUAUAGUGAGGUAUAGUGAUGUAUAGUGAGGUAUAGUGAGGUAUAGUGAUGUAUAGUGAGGUAUAGUGUUGUAUAGUGAGGUAUAGUGAUGUAUAGUGAGGUAUAGUGAUGU